UGCCAGCCGCCGCGGUAACACGAACCGUACGAACGUUAUUCGGAAUUAUUGGGCUUAAAGGGUGCGUAGGCGGCGCGGUCAGUUGGGUGUGAAAGCCCUCGGCUUAACCGAGGAAUUGCGCCCAAUACUGCCGUGCUUGAGGGAGACAGAGGUAAGCGGAACUGAUGGUGGAGCGGUGAAAUGCGUUCAUAUCAUCAGGAACACCAGUGGCGAAAGCGGCUUACUGGGUCUCUUCUGACGCUGAGGCACGAAAGCUAGGGUAGCGAACGGGAUUAGAUA
This 279-nucleotide ribosomal RNA is filed under the name uncultured bacterium. RNAcentral describes it as "partial 16S ribosomal RNA". It matches the Rfam family "Bacterial small subunit ribosomal RNA", at positions 506 to 784 of the family's 1533-position model. The record is from RNAcentral.